Molecule: ribosomal RNA, 1099 nt
Filed under: Salmonella enterica
Lineage: Bacteria; Pseudomonadati; Pseudomonadota; Gammaproteobacteria; Enterobacterales; Enterobacteriaceae
Description: partial 23S ribosomal RNA
Rfam family: Bacterial large subunit ribosomal RNA
Source: RNAcentral
AGCGACUUAUAUUCUGUAGCAAGGUUAACCGUAUAGGGGAGCCGUAGGGAAACCGAGUCUUAACCGGGCGUUAAGUUGCAGGGUAUAGACCCGAAACCCGGUGAUCUAGCCAUGGGCAGGUUGAAGGUUGGGUAACACUAACUGGAGGACCGAACCGACUAAUGUUGAAAAAUUAGCGGAUGACCUGUGGCUGGGGGUGAAAGGCCAAUCAAACCGGGAGAUAGCUGGUUCUCCCCGAAAGCUAUUUAGGUAGCGCCUCGUGAAUUCAUCUCCGGGGGUAGAGCACUGUUUCGGCUAGGGGGCCAUCCCGGCUUACCAACCCGAUGCAAACUGCGAAUACCGGAGAAUGUUAUCACGGGAGACACACGGCGGGUGCUAACGUCCGUCGUGAAGAGGGAAACAACCCAGACCGCCAGCUAAGGUCCCAAAGUCAUGGUUAAGUGGGAAACGAUGUGGGAAGGCCCAGACAGCCAGGAUGUUGGCUUAGAAGCAGCCAUCAUUUAAAGAAAGCGUAAUAGCUCACUGGUCGAGUCGGCCUGCGCGGAAGAUGUAACGGGGCUAAACCAUGCACCGAAGCUGCGGCAGCGAACGUAUCACCCAAGACAACUUUACGGAGUUGACGAUUGACGGAGCGAAGCGACGUCAAAGCGUUCAUUAAAGUCGAGUUGGCUUAGGGAUACGUUCGUUGGGUAGGGGAGCGUUCUGUAAGCCUGUGAAGGUGUGUCGUGAGGCAUGCUGGAGGUAUCAGAAGUGCGAAUGCUGACAUAAGUAACGAUAAAGCGGGUGAAAAGCCCGCUCGCCGGAAGACCAAGGGUUCCUGUCCAACGUUAAUCGGGGCAGGGUGAGUCGACCCCUAAGGCGAGGCCGAAAGGCGUAGUCGAUGGGAAACGGGUUAAUAUUCCCGUACUUGGUGUUACUGCGAAGGGGGGACGGAGAAGGCUAUGUUGGCCGGGCGACGGUUGUCCCGGUUUAAGCGUGUAGGUGUGUGUUCCAGGUAAAUCCGGUUCACUUUAACACUGAGGCGUGACGACGAGGCACUACGGUGCUGAAGCAACAAAUGCCCUGCUUCCAGGAAAAGCCUCUAAGCAUCAGGUAACAC